AUUGAACGCUGGCGGCAUGCUUUACACAUGCAAGUCGAACGGUAACAGGGAGCCUGCUCCGCUGACGAGUGGCGAACGGGUGAGUAAUGCAUCGGAACGUACCCAGUCGUGGGGGAUAACGUAGCGAAAGUUACGCUAAUACCGCAUACGUCCUGAGGGAGAAAGCGGGGGACCGUAAGGCCUCGCGCGAUUGGAGCGGCCGAUGUCGGAUUAGCUAGUUGGUAGGGUAAAGGCCUACCAAGGCGACGAUCCGUAGCGGGUCUGAGAGGAUGAUCCGCCACACUGGGACUGAGACACGGCCCAGACUCCUACGGGAGGCAGCAGUGGGGAAUUUUGGACAAUGGGCGAAAGCCUGAUCCAGCCAUGCCGCGUGAGUGAAGAAGGCCUCGGUUGUAAG
This 397-nucleotide ribosomal RNA is filed under the name uncultured bacterium. RNAcentral's name for it is "bacterial SSU rRNA". It matches the Rfam family "Bacterial small subunit ribosomal RNA", at positions 29 to 429 of the family's 1533-position model. The record is from RNAcentral.